CUCUGCAGGGGCUGACUGCAGUUCCUCCUCUAACCUUGUCCCAGUCCCUCAAUUUAGACCAAAACAAUGAGAAGAUGGAAAGAUCAAACAAACAGAUCUUUGUGGAGCAACAAAGAGGUCUUAUGAAGUUGCCCAGGCUGGCCUCAGACUUGCAAUCCUCCUCACUCAGCCUCUGGAGUAACUAGGAUUACGGUGAGAUCACCAUGAAUCGAGUCUGCCUGUGGAUAAUGGAAAGGUGGUAGGUUUGCAGAAAGUGGAAUUUAGUCCUCAUCUCAAGGACUGGAAUUUAAAGGAGAAGACAGAAUGAGAUCAGGAGAUCCUUUGAGUCUCUGAUGACAGUCAUACAGUUGGCCAUUCACAUGACCUUUCAGAAGGCUGAAAGAUCACCACUGAAGAUGCAUGUGAAGAAUUACACUGUGGCACAAGAACAGGAAGCAAGAAACGGCUGCAGGAAUAGGAUGAGGAGUAUUCUCUUCCCCCCAGCCUUGAUAUCCCAGUAAGGAGAUAAGCAGAAGUCAGUCUUCCUGUGGGAGAAGAACUGGAUGUUCAAAUGGGUAAUUUUUUCUCCUUCAAAAUUUAAAAGUAGAGCCUUGAGAUAUUAUCAGAUACAGGCAAAUUAUCAAGUAGGCAGUUUAUUCCCAGUUCCACCCUGUCUCUCCCUCUCUUUGGUCCCAGCUUUGCAGCCUCACGUGCUGUGUCCUUCCACAAGCCCACCAGAGUGGGGCAGUGGCUCUGGGAGCUCUUGUACUUCUGUGUCACGUCUCACAAUUCUUCCACUACCUCUCACAGUAGAGCACAGGCUUAGUGUAGGUGAGAGGAGUGCAGGGCUCUACAGUUCCAUCCCAGUAAAAAGGGAGGAGCAAAGAGAGGGAGAAAAAUGGAGGGGAGAGAGAGAACUGGUGGGAAGUUGGUGCAGUCACAUGAAAUCUACAAAGAAGAAGAAAAAAUGUUUUGUUUGAGAAAUACUUGGGUUCACAGACAGAUCUAAUCUGCGAAAGUAUUUCUACACUGUUUUUGUACAGUUUCUUCCCUUUCUCCUUUCCUAAAUCCAGAGAAACUCUGAACAUUCCCUCCUGACCCCACGCAUGAGCAUGAUGGCUUCUCUAGCAGUAAUAGGACUCAGUCCUUGAGAUGAGGACUAAGCAUUUGUGACUGUCUGUAAUUUAUAAAUCAGUAACUGUUUAUGUUGGUAAGAUUUUUAAAGUUUCAACCCUAAAAUUGUGAUGAGUAACUCUGCUCAAAUACAGUCUCAAGAGCCUGUCUAAACAUUAAAUUGAGAAAGGGAACACAUUCUUCUUUAAAACAUUUUGAUCUUUCAUUACUUCUAUUCUUCUGAAAAAGUCAAAGAGGAGGAGGAGGAAACUGAAAAGAUGAAAGAGAUUCUUAAUGCUGGUUUAUUUAAUGAUUUACAAGCCUGUGAUUUGGGAGGUCAUCCUAAUUGUAAUGCUUCUAUGUGCCUUUCAGAUUUUUUUUUUUAACCAGAAAUUAAACUCAUGACUGUGGCUCGCUAAGCAUGUGCUUGUUCCCAAACUAUGUCCCUGAUCCCCUUUCAGCUUUUAAACUGUGAGUUGCAAGUUAUAAAAACAACACCUGCAAAUUUUUAAAAAUUACUUAAUAUUAGAAGCUUAUGAGCGGGACAUGGUGCACAAUUAUAAUCCUAGUACUCAGGAGGCUGAGCCAGGGAGAUCACUGCAAGUUCUAGGCCAGCCCAGGCUACCUAGCAAAACCAUGCCUCAAGAAGAAUAAAACAAGCUUAUAUAUGUGUAAUGCAUGUACAGACACAGAUAUGGAAAGUAUCUAUGCAUAUAUGUAUGAAUAUUCUGAAAGAUAUACACAUGUACAUGUAAAUACACAGUUGGAUUUUGUUCUAACUCUAUACAGUCUAUCAUUUAACUUACCCAUAUUAAUGCAUAACAUUUUGUGAGCUUCCACAUUUGCACACUAACAUUUUACCACUGGUCCCAGGUGAUCAAAAUCAGCCCACAUGAUUAACACUGGACUGAACCCAAAUAUUACAGCUUUUAUCACGUACUGUCCAAUUUUAUUAACACUGCAACCUUUAAGCCUAUUUAAUUGUCAAAAGAAGUAAAAUAUACAGCUAUUAUUUCCUCAUAGCCUGAUUUCAACUCUAAUUCCAUCUGUGACUCAACAAAGGUUAUUUUUAUUAUAGGUCAUAGCAACAAUAACCAAAAUGCCUAAGGUAUUUAGUUAAGCAUCUAGAGUCAUCUUAACCUGAACUAUUAAGGGAUCCUUCUGUACUGAAUGGGCAAAAACUCCAGUUUCUAGAUAGGAAACAGGAGAGUAGAGGUCUCAUUACAAACUUGAAAGAAGACUAUGAUGUUUUUCCUGACAGCUGCUGCUGUUGUUGGGUCUUAUGAUCAAAAUUAAGGAGAUUUAGGAAAUUAUUAAUAGCAUGAAAUGUAUAUAUGUAUAAAAUGUCCAGACAUUUCCAUCUGCCUAGGCAAAGUUAGACUUCUCUAGUUAUGUGAACCUUCCCUGGGCACUGGGCCAAAUCACCAUGAAUGAACACACCAUCUUCUCCCCAACAGAAGCUCAUGCUAUGAAACUCACUGUCAGUCCUGAAAGAUAAUUUCUUCUGUACAGUUCAACCACAGAUCAGACCAAGGGAGGAAAAGUUAGACAAUGUAGAGUCUGGAGUCAGAUAGAGCUAAAUUUCAGUCCCAUUUUUACCAUUCAUGGGCACAUUUCUGAGCUUCGAUUUUCUCAUUUGCCUAAUGGAUUACUGGUGUGUUGUUUAUGUGAUAUGUCUAGCAUACAGCAAUAGGGUGCCUGUGAAUUAUCAGAAUGGUCAUAAUACAAUGAUACAAGAGCUACAUUCACCCACAGACCACACUCUGUGGUCUGUGAGACUUUUACAGCUUACGUACACAGUACUAUCCUAGGUGAAGAAUCAUAUUAUGGAAAUAGUGAGGGGUACUUUACAUGCUCUUCAAACAAGUUGAAUUUUGAAUAUGAAUGGGAUAAUGUAAUUGAAGUUUGAGAUUUUACCCAAUAAAUGAAUAUAUUUAAAUGUUAGUAAAGUGAUUUGGUGAGGGGCAUGGAAUUUGGUCUCUCUUGAUGAUCUCCUACUGAAUGAUUGAGGUUCCAGCCUGGGCAUGCUGUGGUUUGAUCAUCCCCUUCAUGACUCAUGUUGAUAUUUAAAUGUCACAGUAAUAUUAAGAGGUAGAUCUUUAAGAGGUGAAUGGGCCAUGAAGAACUCAAGAAUGGUCUGAUGUUGUCAGCAUGGGACUGAGUUGGUUAUCACAGAAGUGGCUCUGUUAUAAGUCUCUCUCUCUCUCUCUCUCUCUCUCUCUCUCUCUCUCUCUCUCUCUCUCUCUCUCCCCUACCCAUUCCCCUCUCUUCCCCCUCCCCACUUUCUUUCCCCCUUCCUCUCCCUUUCUCCCUCCCUGUCAUGCCCCUGACUUGUUAUGAUGCAACAAGAAGGCCUUCACCUGAUGCCAGCACCUUGAUACUGGAGUUCCCAGACUCUAACACAAUGAGACAUACAUUUCUUUUUUUUAUAAAUUGUCCGAUCUGUGUUAUUCUGUUAUAAUAACAUAAAAUAGACUAAAUAUAAGAACAAUUUAAUUAAUAUCCUGAAAUUUAAGUUUCUUCAAAUACAAAAAUACCUCACUCAUCUUUCAGAACUGCUAUGAGCAUUAAAAUCAGAUGAAGUAUGUAAAUCAUAUAUUUCACUGUUCAAGACAAAUGAUUAAUUUGUUACAAAAAUUAUUCAUUCAGCAAUGAUGCUCAUAUCUUGCUACAAAAUCACUCCCUUGUCAUUGAAUUUAAUGUAAGGCAAGUCUUUCUCAGAGCUCAUCAAAGAUAAUUUACAUAAUGAAAUAUCUCAUUGACCUCAUUUUAAGAGGAAGUAGGUUAUGGAUAAGAACUGAUAGAUACAGAGAAUUGCAGCUCUCAUGUUUACUAUGCCAUGUGAUAGAAAUUACUUCACAACGUACUUAAAAGUAAUUAAUACAAGCUCAAUAAUGAACGCACUGAAUAUGAUUGUUAGAUUAGAUAAAAUACUUGCCUAUGUGAAUCUCAUUACUCAGAGGUGACCAUUACUGCUGUUUCAGGUUACAACCCUGCUGUCUUAUUAAAAUAUAUCAAGAUGCACAGAGAAACACAGUCACAAAAAUUUCAGUUAUAGAGUUUAUAAAAAGGUUAUCUGAACUUCAUUUGAAGCCUCCAAAAUUCUGGAAUUAUAGUCAUAUGCCACCAUGCCUUGCUGAAGAAUACUUAAAAAGCAUGAACAGAAAAAAGUAAAACUUCCCAUAAUCUCACUGCAUGAAUAAUCAUUAGUACUUUGUCAUAAGCAGUAUUUAUAAAUAUUUAUACUAUGAUGUAUACAUUGAUUUUUUAGUUCUUUGGUGUAUCUGUACUAUAAAUUUGCAGAAGCCAUUUUAUGAAGUUCUUGUUUCAAAUUUUUCCCCAUAUUUUUAUUCAAUCUUUUUUUUUUUUGGUACUAGGCAUGGAACCUAGGUAAAUGCUAGGCAAGCACUGUCCUUGAGCUAUACCUUCAAUCUUCUAUAUUUUAUUUAUAAUCUAUUUUUAUGUAUGUUAAGGUUUUAUUUGCAUUACUCAAAUAUAUGCUUUUAAAACCUUUACCUUUGUGUCAUGCUUAAAAAUGGCUUCCAUGUUCUUUUUUUUUUUUUUUUUUUUUUCAUUUUCUUUCUACAUUUAGACCCUUAAUACACUUGUAACAGAUCUGGCAUCUAUGUGAGGCAAAGAAUCCUUUUCUUUUCUUUUUUUUCCAAACAGAUAAUCAAUUUUUAUAACUAUUAUGGCUCAUAUGAUGAUGUCCCCCAAGGCUUCAUGCAUGCAGAGCCAGAGUUUUUGCAAGAUGACUGAAUUGUGGGCAUGAUGCUGCUCACUGACUAGCCAUUGGAAGGCAGAGUCUGGUGAGAAGAGGCAGGCCACUGCAUGUGUGUUCCGGAAGGGAAUAUCUCCAUUCUCAGCUCCUCACUUCUCUCUGGUUUCUGCUCCUCAGGAUGUGAGCGGCUUUUCCUCCGCUUUGGGCCUCUACCAUGCUGGGCUGCUUUGGAGCCAGCUGACUGUGGACUGAAACUGUGAGCCAAAAUAAAACUAUGCACCUUGAAGCUGUAGGUGCUAGGUACUGUGUUUCAGCAAAAAGAAAAAUGAGGAAGACAAUAACAACGAUUGUUUUAGAAAGAUCAUUAGUUCACACUUAAUGGAACAUCUUCCUGUUCCGUGCACUUGCAUGAAGUUUUGUUCUCUGGCUAGCAAUGUAUCAGAGAGCUAAAUUGAAUUUAAUAAAUUGAGUAAAAGGCUAUAGCAA
Cavia porcellus (domestic guinea pig) is the source of this 5299-nucleotide long non-coding RNA. RefSeq lists it as uncharacterized. NCBI's taxonomy places the organism in Eukaryota, Metazoa, Chordata, Mammalia, Rodentia, Caviidae. The record is from RefSeq and is a predicted model, not a curated record. The transcript is spliced from 5 exons.